Molecule: non-coding RNA, 28 nt
Filed under: Mus musculus (house mouse)
Lineage: Eukaryota; Metazoa; Chordata; Mammalia; Rodentia; Muridae
Source: RNAcentral
UGGUCAGUUUCCACAUCAGAAUGGUCAC